Molecule: long non-coding RNA, 437 nt
Filed under: Sinocyclocheilus grahami
Lineage: Eukaryota; Metazoa; Chordata; Actinopteri; Cypriniformes; Cyprinidae
Description: lncRNA (ENSSGRG00000035944.1)
Source: RNAcentral
UACAUAGAUCUCCACCCUCCUAUGAGGCGUUAGGAUCAAAGAUGGAGUUACAGUCUUCUUCUGAGAGAAGAUUCAGUGAAAGAGAGACACCAGAUGAAUCUAAAAGCUCCUCAGGGUCAUUCAAAAAUAAAAUUGGCCUUCCACUCUGUUCUUUGGGCAUCAUGAAAGAUGCCUGGGAGCGACUGCGACAGUGCAUCAGUCCCACUACUGUGCUGUGCCCGGGCGGAGGUGGCACACCCAUCCUGGGCCAGGUCUUCCAUUUCCUGUGUAGGAGCCUCCUUCAAACCUCUUCUCUGGUGGACAAAGAUGGAGGUGCACAUGUGGAUCCCAAAGCCAUCACCAUAGCCAUGGCACAGCAACACCAAAGAGCUCAGGUGGGAAAUCCAUUGCAGAUCCAUUUUACUUUCAAUAACUAGAUGUAGAGACACAUCGCAGUU